RNAcentral lists this ribosomal RNA (1372 nucleotides) under uncultured bacterium. RNAcentral's name for it is "bacterial SSU rRNA". It matches the Rfam family "Bacterial small subunit ribosomal RNA", at positions 28 to 1381 of the family's 1533-position model. The record is from RNAcentral.
GAUGAACGCUGGCGGCGUGCCUAAUACAUGCAAGUCGAGCGAACAGACGAGGAGCUUGCUCCUUUGACGUUAGCGGCGGACGGGUGAGUAACACGUGGGUAACCUACCUAUAAGACUGGGAUAACUUCGGGAAACCGGAGCUAAUACCGGAUAAUAUUUCGAACCGCAUGGUUCGAUAGUGAAAGAUGGCUUUGCUAUCACUUAUAGAUGGACCUGCGCCGUAUUAGCUAGUUGGUAAGGUAACGGCUUACCAAGGCAACGAUACGUAGCCGACCUGAGAGGGUGAUCGGCCACACUGGAACUGAGACACGGUCCAGACUCCUACGGGAGGCAGCAGUAGGGAAUCUUCCGCAAUGGGCGAAAGCCUGACGGAGCAACGCCGCGUGAGUGAUGAAGGUCUUCGGAUCGUAAAACUCUGUUAUUAGGGAAGAACAAACGUGUAAGUAACUGUGCACGUCUUGACGGUACCUAAUCAGAAAGCCACGGCUAACUACGUGCCAGCAGCCGCGGUAAUACGUAGGUGGCAAGCGUUAUCCGGAAUUAUUGGGCGUAAAGCGCGCGUAGGCGGUUUUUUAAGUCUGAUGUGAAAGCCCACGGCUCAACCGUGGAGGGUCAUUGGAAACUGGAAAACUUGAGUGCAGAAGAGGAAAGUGGAAUUCCAUGUGUAGCGGUGAGAUGCGCAGAGAUAUGGAGGAACACCAGUGGCGAAGGCGACUUUCUGGUCUGUAACUGACGCUGAUGUGCGAAAGCGUGGGGAUCAAACAGGAUUAGAUACCCUGGUAGUCCACGCCGUAAACGAUGAGUGCUAAGUGUUAGGGGGUUUCCGCCCCUUAGUGCUGCAGCUAACGCAUUAAGCACUCCGCCUGGGGAGUACGACCGCAAGGUUGAAACUCAAAGGAAUUGACGGGGACCCGCACAAGCGGUGGAGCAUGUGGUUUAAUUCGAAGCAACGCGAAGAACCUUACCAAAUCUUGACAUCCUUUGACCCUUCUAGAGAUAGAAGUUUCCCCUUCGGGGGACAAAGUGACAGGUGGUGCAUGGUUGUCGUCAGCUCGUGUCGUGAGAUGUUGGGUUAAGUCCCGCAACGAGCGCAACCCUUAAGCUUAGUUGCCAUCAUUAAGUUGGGCACUCUAAGUUGACUGCCGGUGACAAACCGGAGGAAGGUGGGGAUGACGUCAAAUCAUCAUGCCCCUUAUGAUUUGGGCUACACACGUGCUACAAUGGACAAUACAAAGGGCAGCGAAACCGCGAGGUCAAGCAGAUCCCAUAAAGUUGUUCUCAGUUCGGAUUGUAGUCUGCAACUCGACUACAUGAAGCUGGAAUCGCUAGUAAUCGUAGAUCAGCAUGCUACGGUGAAUACGUUCCCGGGUCU